CCUACGGGAGGCAGCAGUGGGGAAUAUUGCACAAUGGGGGGCACACUGAUGCAGCGACGCCGCGUGAGGGAAGAAGUAUUUCGGUAUGUAAAGCUCUAUCAGCAGGGAAGAAAAUGACGGUACCUGACUUAGAAGCGCCGGCUAACUCCGUGCCAGAGGCCGCGGUAUUACGUAGGGGGCAAGCGUUAUCCGGAUUUACUGGGUGUAAAAGGGGCGUAGACGGCAGAGCAAGUCUGAGGUGAAAGCCCGCGGCCCAACUGCGGGACUGCUUUGGAAACUGCCCGGCUAGAGUGCUGGAGAGGUAAGCGGAAUUCCUAGUGUAGCGGUGAAAUGCGUAGAUAUUAGGAGGAACACCAGUGGCGAAGGCGGCUUACUGGACAGUAACUGACGUUGAGGCUCGAAAGCGUGGGGAGCAAACAGGAUUAGAUACCCGAGUAGUC
RNAcentral lists this ribosomal RNA (440 nucleotides) under uncultured bacterium. Its description in RNAcentral is "partial 16S ribosomal RNA". It matches the Rfam family "Bacterial small subunit ribosomal RNA", at positions 338 to 795 of the family's 1533-position model. The record is from RNAcentral.